RNAcentral lists this ribosomal RNA (301 nucleotides) under uncultured bacterium. RNAcentral's name for it is "partial 16S ribosomal RNA". It matches the Rfam family "Bacterial small subunit ribosomal RNA", at positions 509 to 807 of the family's 1533-position model. The record is from RNAcentral.
CAGUCGCCACGGGAAAACAGAGGGUGCGAGCGUUAAUCGGAUUUACUGGGCGUAAAGCGCGCGUAGGUGGUUCAUUAAGUUGGAUGUGAAAGCCCUGGGCUCAACCUGGGAACUGCAUCCAAAACUGGUGAGCUAGAGUACGGUAGAGGGUAGUGGAAUUUCCUGUGUAGCGGUGAAAUGCGUAGAUAUAGGAAGGAACACCAGUGGCGAAGGCGACUACCUGGACUGAUACUGACACUGAGGUGCGAAAGCGUGGGGAGCAAACAGGAUUAGAUACCCCAGUAGUCCCUGUCUCUUAUAC